AAAUCAAAUGGUAGCUCCCUUAUUAUCAUUUUUCGCUUCCAAGGUUUUUGGUCCGGCUGUUUUCGUCUCGAUAGUGACUAUUGGGAUAUAAAUAUCUUGCACACGGGAUUAAAAUUUGUUAUCCCAGGGUUGUCAAGGACAACAGCCAAUUAAAAGUCUUCGUGUCAACAUAAAUAUAUUCAAUAUUUAUCAAUUGACGAGAUUAAUACUUUAUUUUCUGGACCUAUUCAUAUUAUAUUGACCAAGGAUGAGGUCCACGGUUAAAUAUUAUUAACAGGUUCAUAUAUAACGUAUUGACUGAGUGAAAGUACUUAUUUUAUGUAUUAUUGAAAUGGUGUAAGAAAGAGAAAAAAAAUUAACCAAUCAUGGUGCUCAAAA
This 378-nucleotide long non-coding RNA is filed under the name Mytilus galloprovincialis (Mediterranean mussel). The record is from RNAcentral. Lineage: Eukaryota; Metazoa; Mollusca; Bivalvia; Mytilida; Mytilidae.